UGUCCUCCUUGGGAAUAAACCUCUCGUGUUGAGCAGCUCGCUCAAACGCAUCUGGGUUCUCAGCGUCUUCGACAGUGACGCACUGACGUCGGCCUGAAGCAUUGGUAUCAAGUUAAGAUGUACUUAAGGCUGCCUCGUCUGGAUGUUCCUGUAUAGCAUUCCGCAUUGUUUUAGGGUUUGCCUGUUUUUCUUUAGGAAAAGCACCUCCGCGCGCCUGACAAUACGGGUCGCGCAUACGGGUAGACAACUCAGGAACAAACGCUGAUGGUGUCUUAUCUCAUCCAGGACUUCUGGUACGGGAUGUAAGCGACGUAACAUAUCGGGAAGCUGGGGGUUUGGCAGGGCCUUCCAGCUUUCACGGAUUGGACCUGAAAUGGGCCUGCCACAACUAAUGGCCAAACAAACAGGAAUUGGCGGUUGUUAGGCAAUGAUGCAAAGGCCGUCGCUGCAGCGGUGGUUGCUUUUUUAGCUGUUUGUGCUUUUCUACCAGGUGUGUUGGUUGUCGAACAACCGCUUUCUGUAAACUAACCCGGCCAACGGCAGCAAUGCCCCAAUCCCACAAGUCAUCUGCUGUCAUUGUGAAAGAUGCUGAUAUCAGAUUUGUUGAUGUCAACCCUGCCAGGGCUCCAGGAGUGGCCCUUCACGUCGUUCGUUCUAACCCAUCCUGACACACAAAAUGAUUCCUGGGCGCGGCGUGUGAGGCGUUGCGCACCCGGCGCUAAAUGCAAGCCAACGACAAAUCAGUUGGAAGCUGCGCGUGUGGCAUCAACGAAGGAAAAGCUAGCGGCAAUGCAGUGGCACGGGCGGAGGAGUUGCCAAGCACCACCACUAGCCUCACCCCC
This 842-nucleotide long non-coding RNA is filed under the name Volvox carteri. RNAcentral describes it as "long non-coding RNA (VCAR_LNC001152)". Lineage: Eukaryota; Viridiplantae; Chlorophyta; Chlorophyceae; Chlamydomonadales; Volvocaceae. The record is from RNAcentral.